UGGCUGAGACGGUAAAGCAUCUGUCUACAAUGCGGGAGACCCAGGUUCGAGCCCUGG
RNAcentral lists this transfer RNA (57 nucleotides) under Bos taurus (domestic cattle). It matches the Rfam family "tRNA", at positions 8 to 63 of the family's 71-position model. Rfam says of the family: Transfer RNA (tRNA) molecules are approximately 80 nucleotides in length. Their secondary structure includes four short double-helical elements and three loops (D, anti-codon, and T loops). Further hydrogen bonds mediate the characteristic L-shaped molecular structure. tRNAs have two regions of fundamental functional importance: the anti-codon, which is responsible for specific mRNA codon recognition, and the 3' end, to which the tRNAs corresponding amino acid is attached (by aminoacyl-tRNA synthetases). tRNAs cope with the degeneracy of the genetic code in two manners: having more than one tRNA (with a specific anti-codon) for a particular amino acid; and 'wobble' base-pairing, i.e. permitting non-standard base-pairing at the 3rd anti-codon position. RNAcentral also lists the same sequence under 1 other name. Lineage: Eukaryota; Metazoa; Chordata; Mammalia; Artiodactyla; Bovidae. The record is from Rfam by way of RNAcentral.